GGGAAAGAAAAGGCCUUUGGGUUUUGCUGCACAGCAGGCUCUCCGUGUGUUGCUUGUGGAAAUGCUUUCCUACAGUAGGUUUUCACUCCUCUGAAGUUGUUAAUUUGAUGUGGAUUCUGUCGAUCUGAUAAGGUUCCUGGCGGUGAAGCUGGAUGCUGAAGCAUUGACCCCGGGAUGCCGUACACGAAGUUGGAGAGGAGGUGACACCAAGUCCCCGUGGGCAGUGGUUGCAGUGUGACCUGUGGCCACAGGCUGGCCAGGCUGUGCAGGGCUUGGCGGUUCCAUGUGGCCGUGGGGAAGCUGUCCUCGGUGUGACAGGAGAGGCUGCGUGGUGAAAACAGCCCCACUUUUCCAGAGUUAGCAGGUAGAACAACGUUCUUAAACCACAUCCAGGAACAAUCACAGAAUAUCUUAUUUUGGAAAGGGCCCACAGGGAUCAUCGAGUCCCACUCCUGGUUCAGAGAACACUGAAGUGUCUAAGGCACGAUUUUCCUCCUUUUGCUACCUGGUUCUUCACAGCUUUAGUAGAGGAGAGCAGAAGAGCAACACACCUGAGCAACACUUUGAGCUGAAGUGCCUACACAGACUGCAGAAGGCAAGUCACUG
RNAcentral lists this long non-coding RNA (606 nucleotides) under Gallus gallus (chicken). RNAcentral describes it as "long non-coding RNA NONGGAT008855". Lineage: Eukaryota; Metazoa; Chordata; Aves; Galliformes; Phasianidae. The record is from RNAcentral.